RNAcentral lists this ribosomal RNA (495 nucleotides) under uncultured bacterium. RNAcentral's name for it is "bacterial SSU rRNA". It matches the Rfam family "Bacterial small subunit ribosomal RNA", at positions 30 to 518 of the family's 1533-position model. The record is from RNAcentral.
UGAACGCUAGCGACAGCUAACACAUGCAAGUCGAGGGGUAACAGGGUAGCAAUACCGCUGACGACCGGCGCACGGGUGAGUAACGCGUAUGCAACCUGCCUAUAACUGGGGAAUAGCUCCCUGAAAGGGGGAAUUAACACCGCAUAACACUAUUGAUUCGCAUGGAUUGGUAGUUAAAUGUAGCGAUACAGGUUAUAGAUGGGCAUGCGUGACAUUAGCUAGUUGGUGAGGUAACGGCUCACCAAGGCUACGAUGUCUAGGGGUUCUGAGAGGAAGGUCCCCCACACUGGUACUGAGACACGGACCAGACUCCUACGGGAGGCAGCAGUGAGGAAUAUUGGUCAAUGGGCGCAAGCCUGAACCAGCCAUGUCGCGUGCAGGAAGACUCGCCCUAUGGGUUGUGAACUGCUUUUAUAGUAGAAGAAACACAUCUACGCGUAGAUGUCUGCCAGUAUACUAUGAAUAAGCAUCGGCUAACUCCGUGCCAGCCGCCGC